Molecule: long non-coding RNA, 4056 nt
Organism: Podarcis raffonei (Aeolian wall lizard)
Lineage: Eukaryota; Metazoa; Chordata; Lepidosauria; Squamata; Lacertidae
Exons: 3
Source: RefSeq, a predicted model, not a curated record
GCCCUGGCUCCAUGGCUCACCUCUUGCCAUGGAAUUAAUGGAAUCCUCUUGCCACCAAGUUGGGAGAGACCCCCUUCUUUCGGCAUUGAACGGCCACAUGCUCAGAGCGAUGGCGGCUGUGUCCAGCUCAGCUUCAGCCCCCCCCCCUCGGGCCCCCUUCUAGAACCCACCGCUCUCCACUGACUCACCUGCCCCCCCCUUCAAACUCCCUUUCCCCAUGGAAUUAACUUACCACAAUCUCCAAUGUUUCUUUCAGUGGCACACCAGCCUCCUUCAUGGUUUGCCGUCUCAGCAACCUUUUAUGUCCUAGGAGACAGAAAGGAAAAUAAAAAAGGAAGAGGUUACAUGGCUCCAUGUAAAGGGAAUCCUCCUGCUGCCAAGUUGCACAUGCUCAGAGUGAUGGCGGCUGUGUCCAGCUCAGCUUCAGCCCCCCCCCUCGGGCCCCCUUCUAGAACCCACCGCUCUCAACCGACUCUCACCUGCCCCCGCCCCCGUUCAAACUCCCUUUCCAAGCCUCCUUCCAUCUUCCGUCUCCACCAGAAUUCCACUCUCUCUCUUCCCCCUCCCUCCCUGCUUGACAUUCCCUUUGGAAUUGUAAUAGCAUCACCUCACAAUAAUAAUAUUGCCACUCAUCUCCUCUAGGCCUCCUACCUGGAGAAUCCAUCUUCUCUACAGGUCUCUCACUGUCAUCUGACAGGCAUCCCCCUUGCAGGGCAUUAUCAGGCUUGCUUGCAAAGCAGCACUUUGUGACAUCAGCUGGCAAACGGGCCAGGCUGCUGGGUUGUCCGGCAGCUGAAUGAAGAAAAAUAAAACCAGACUUGCGGAGGCAAGGGAGGGCUGCUGUGGGGUCGCCGACCCGCAGGAGAGGUACUCCUCCUUGUUCACCUGGAAACGCAUGCAAACAGAUAACUUACAAGAUAAAUACUAAACCAAAAGCAACCUAAGAGAUUUUUUUUUAAAAUGACUGGAUAAAGCACUCAUUCAAUUGUAUCACCACUUGAUUGUAUUUGUGUUUACCUCCUGCCCUUCCAAGCCACUAUAGUUGCCCUACGAGCCCUGCUGGGCACCUCUCAGAAUCUGAACUCGCCCCGCACCCUUCCUGCUUCCUCCUCCAGCAUCCUUCUUGCUGUUGCAGCACACAUUCAGGGCUCCCGCCUCCUCCUAGACUACAUUCAGAGAUGAAAAAGCAACAGAGCGUAAGAUCCUCCUUUUGCUGCAAAAUAACUCUCUAUGAAUACAGAUUCAAGUCCCAGAAAGUGCCUGCAAAAACAAAUUGCUUUUUCCUUUGGAAAUAAAAACAAAACAAAACUACACAAUAUUUUAAGAAAGGAAGAGGAUUCACUCCAGGCUCACAGGCUCCACUGAGAGGCCCUAUUUCAUGGAUGCUUUUGUGGAGAUUCCUGCAUUGCAGGAGGGUUGGACUAGUUGACCCUUCCAAUUCUAUGAUUCUGUGUAGUUCCCGCUACAUAUAAAAUGGUUUGGUAUUUUUACAGGAGAAAUCGGAUCAGUUGUAGAAGGGUUAGGCCAGAGACCGAGGGCCCAAACUGCAACCCAAAACCCACUUAUUUCUCGCAAAGUGCCAAAGUGGCAGUUUAACCUGUAUAUCAGUUUUUCUGUGUGUUUCACGCUUCUGUAUGACUUCUGUUGUGAUAAAUAAUCCUUCAUAAAAGUUAUUGCCUUACAUUCUUCAUUAAAAUUAUCUUGCCAUUGAUAUAUAAUUUUAUGGUAUAAGGCAGUGCUUUUUUUCUAAAAAAUGUUUAGGGGUACUCUCAUUUUGACACAAGAAAAUCACCACGGGGGGGGGGGGAUACAGUUCAAUGCGCCGCCACGACCACCCCAGCCUGCUCCGGCUUGCAGGGAAGUAGGAGUGGGAUGGAGUUGCAACCUUUUUGAGCCAUGGGCCGGUCCACUGUCCCUAGGCCUUGUGGUGGGCCGGACUAUUGGGGGGGGGGGGAAUUAAUGAAUUCCUAUGCACACUGCACAAUUGUAUUUGUAGUUGACUUUGAACAGACUUUUAAGUCUGAUUUUUGUAAAUAAUAGACAAAAUGAUAAACACUGUAAUCACUCAAAUGCUUGAUAUUGCCAGCUCUGCUUCAAAAACAUCACGGUUUUCACCUCUCCCCUUUUAAAAACAAAGAGCAAAGCUGGGCUGAAUUUCAACUCAUCACAUGCUUGCAGACACAUGGCCCUCCACACAGCCACAAAUUGGGAGAGUUGAAAGGGACCCUGGGGUCAUCUAGUCCAACCCUAAAAUACAGGGUUCAUAGCAAGAUUUGUACUACCAGAGAGACACACACAUACUUAUGUACACAGACACAACUGGGGAAGAGACCACAAGCCAUGCUCCUAUCAUGUAUCAUGUACUAAUGAAGAGGAAAAUAAAAGUACCCAACUUUAUACAGAACCCUUUUAGCAGAUCUUGAAGCUAGUUUGAGUGAGAGUUUACUUCCUUAGACUAAAGAGUGCAAGUUCCUAGAGAAAUGAUCUUUAAAGGAAGAUUGAAGUGAACAUUUUUCCUAAUAUAGGGAGAGGAUCUCUUAUAAAGCAUAGUUAAAACAGCCAUAGAUUUGAUUUAAAAGGAAUUCAAAAGUGAACAAUUUUUCCUAAACUUGCAGAGGAAUACAGUGCCUAAUCUAUGCCCCCCCCCUGCAGUUUCCUUUAAAGGAAGCUUACUCGGGAGUAAAUUUACCUAGCACAGAAGUAAGGAGAAGGGAAAAAACCCUGAAAGAGACAGAAUGAAACAAGGGGGGGGGCAUUUUCUAAGAAAAGAGGCCAGGAAGUCUUAUAGAGACUCAUAUCAGGAGCCUUACAAUAACUUCUGUCCAACCAAAUCAAAGUUAAAACUGGACUCAGAUAUUUUUCUUAGAAGGAACACCAUACUUUCAUAGGCAUAUGCUUAAUGAAAUACAUACACUGCAUUUUAGCUUGAGAGAGCAUUGUGCUCAACUAGGCUUUUGCAGCAGAAACAUUAGGUUAACUUCGCAGCACAUACUGAAAUAGACUGGAACACGGAUGUAGACUCACAAACUCAAAAGUUGCAGCAAAAUCACCCUCCUCACUUAAACUAUAGAGGGAAGAGGUGGGGUAAUUCUCCUUUCAGAACACAAGUAGCACGUAUACAGGAUUUUACCACUUGGAAGGAAAACUCUCUUUUAGAGCCUCUCUCAAAUAACAAACAUUUGCACACUUCAUUCUCCAUUUUGUCUUGUUUAAGAUUGAUAAGGCUCAACAUGGCUUCCUUAGAUUUAGAAUUUGGAGCAAGCUUGCAUUUUUAUUUUAGAUGGCACAUUUAAGAUAAGCAGCUGCUGGAUGUUACCUAAGUACAAUUUAAACACAGGAAAAACGUUUCUUAAACACAAAUUAAAGGGGACUGUCAGAGUCCAGGCGGGAAGUAAGCACCAAUUGGGCUUCUUUCAUGCCAGGGGCCUGAGGACUAUUUUUCUUUUGAUUGAGGUGCACCCAUUUUAAGAAUUUUAAUAGCGCCAGCUUUUACUUUUAUACUGCAGUCAGGGUUUUAUCCCCACUUUUCAGGAAACACAAUAAAUAACCCACAGUAGACUCAAUUUGGACAACUCCAAGAAUUAGUACUGUGAUACACCGCCGUUCGUCUGGCCUGACUUACUAGGCUGGUACAGCUGUUGGCCUUUCCUGGCUACUAAGCUAACAGUGCGGUCAGCGAUCUCAACCCCCCCCAUGGUCAUUUCUCAGCCAGGGAGCCCACAGCAACCUCCUGCCUCUUACAAUCUAACCUGAGAGUUCCCUACUGGACGCUUGCGUAGCGCAGUGCCAGAUUGGGACUCAGAAAUGACAAAGAAGGAAAGGAAUCAGGUGCCCUUGCGUUCUCUGCUCACAGGUCAUCUCUAACAAAGAUCGCCAUGGCAGAGGUGCGGCUGCACCUGGGAGUUAUAGUUUCAGUGCAGAAGAAAAAGCACGACCUUUUUCUGGACACCCACCGAGAGACUAGGUCGGCAAACAGAAUUACCUGAAAGAAGUGACUGUAGAAGGGAAAUGAAAGAAGUCACACACAACCUUUGCCUGGGCAUACUCCGAAGGGCU